GACGGAGGGGGCUAGCGUUGUUCGGAAUCACUGGGCGUAAAGGGCGCGUAGGCGGCCUAGCAAGUCAGGCGUGAAAUCCCGGGGCUUAACCCCGGAACUGCGCUUGAAACUGCAAGGCUUGAGUCUCGGAGAGGAUGGUGGAAUUUCUAGUGUAGAGGUGAAAUUCGUAGAUAUUAGAAGGAACACCGAUGGCGAAGGCAGCCAUCUGGACGAGUACUGACGCUGAGGCGCGAAAGCGUGGGGAGCAAAC
Molecule: ribosomal RNA, 250 nt
Filed under: uncultured bacterium
Lineage: Bacteria
Description: partial 16S ribosomal RNA
Rfam family: Bacterial small subunit ribosomal RNA
Source: RNAcentral